This 189-nucleotide ribosomal RNA is filed under the name Triticum aestivum (bread wheat). RNAcentral describes it as "partial small subunit ribosomal RNA". Lineage: Eukaryota; Viridiplantae; Streptophyta; Magnoliopsida; Poales; Poaceae. The record is from RNAcentral.
AUGGAACACCAUAUUCUAGGAGCACAAGUUAUGUUAUUGAAAAUGCGUUCCUCUAGCAAUCCCGGUUUGAGCAUUCCAUUCCCCUUUUCAAACCCCACUUCUUUUCAUAUAACAUCCUUGAUCGAUGAGAGAACAAUAUCCAUUUCAAAACAUUUCUAACGGAUUCCUUGGUUCGAACCGACGAAGUAA